This 253-nucleotide ribosomal RNA is filed under the name uncultured bacterium. RNAcentral describes it as "partial 16S ribosomal RNA". It matches the Rfam family "Bacterial small subunit ribosomal RNA", at positions 524 to 776 of the family's 1533-position model. The record is from RNAcentral.
UACGUAGGGCGCAAGCGUUGUCCGGAAUUAUUGGGCGUAAAGAGCUCGUAGGCGGUCCGUCACGUCCGCUGUGAAAACCCAGGGCUCAACCCUGGGCUUGCAGUGGAUACGGGCAGACUAGAGGUAGGUAGGGGAGAAUGGAAUUCCCGGUGUAGCGGUGAAAUGCGCAGAUAUCAGGAGGAACACCGAUGGCGAAGGCAGUGGUCUGGGCCGGCACUGACGCUGAAUAGCGAAAGCGUGGGUAGCGAACAGG